GGACUACCCGGGUAUCUAAUCCUGUUUGCUCCCCACGCUUUCGUGCAACAGCGUCAAUAACCAGCCAGAUGGCCGCCUUCGCCACCGGUGUUCCUCCUAAUAUCUACGAAUUUCACCUCUACACUAGGAAUUCCGCCAUCCCCUCUGGUAUUCUAGCUCUACAGUAUCGAAAGCAAUUCUGGGGUUGAGCCCCAGGCUUUCACUUCCGACUUAUAAAGCCGCCUACGCACGCUUUACGCCCAAUGAUUCCGAGUAACGCUAGCUCCCUUCGUAUUACCGCGGCUGCUGGCAC
Molecule: ribosomal RNA, 292 nt
Filed under: uncultured bacterium
Lineage: Bacteria
Description: partial 16S ribosomal RNA
Source: RNAcentral